GACGGGCCGCACAAGCGGUGGAGCAUGUGGUUUAAUUCGAUGCAACGCGAAGAACCUUACCUGGGCUUGACAUCCCGGGAAUCCCUUGGAAACAAGGGAGUGCCCUUCGGGGAACCUGGAGACAGGUGCUGCAUGGCUGUCGUCAGCUCGUGUCGUGAGAUGUAGGGUUAAGUCCCGCAACGAGCGCAACCCUUGUCUUUAAUUGCCAUCAUUGAGUUGGGCACUUUAAAGAGACUGCCGGUGUUAAACCGGAGGAAGGUGGGGAUGACGUCAAGUCCUCAUGGCCUUUAUGCCCAGGGCUACACACGUGCUACAAUGGGUGGUACAAAGAGCAGCCAGCUCGCGAGAGUGAGCAAAUCUCAAAAAGCCAUCCUCAGUUCGGAUUGGAGUCUGAAACCCGACUCCAUGAAGGUGGAAUCGCUAGUAAUCGCGCAUCAGCAUGGCGCGGUGAAUACGUUCCCGGGCCUU
RNAcentral lists this ribosomal RNA (468 nucleotides) under uncultured Syntrophus sp. Its description in RNAcentral is "bacterial SSU rRNA". It matches the Rfam family "Bacterial small subunit ribosomal RNA", at positions 918 to 1380 of the family's 1533-position model. The record is from RNAcentral. Lineage: Bacteria; Pseudomonadati; Thermodesulfobacteriota; Syntrophia; Syntrophales; Syntrophaceae.